This 398-nucleotide ribosomal RNA is filed under the name uncultured bacterium. Its description in RNAcentral is "bacterial SSU rRNA". It matches the Rfam family "Bacterial small subunit ribosomal RNA", at positions 361 to 776 of the family's 1533-position model. The record is from RNAcentral.
AUCUUGCGCAAUGGGCGAAAGCCUGACGCAGCCAUGCCGCGUGAAUGAUGAAGGUCUUAGGAUUGUAAAAUUCUUUCACCGGGGAAGAUAAUGACGGUACCCGGAGAAGAAGCUCCGGCUAACUCCGUGCCAGCAGCCGCGGUAAUACGGAGGGAGCGAGCGUUGUUCGGAAUCACUGGGCGUAAAGCGUACGUAGGCGGUUUUGCAAGUCAGAAGUGAAAGCCCAGGGCUUAACCUUGGAAUUGCUUUUGAAACUGCAAAACUAGAGUCCCGGAGAGGUUGGCGGAAUUCCGAGUGUAGAGGUGAAAUUCGCAGAUAUUCGGAGGAACACCAGUGGCGAAAGCGGCCAACUGGACGGGAACUGACGCUGAGGUACGAAAGCGUGGGGAGCAAACAGG